RNAcentral lists this ribosomal RNA (2024 nucleotides) under Staphylococcus aureus M1299. Its description in RNAcentral is "bacterial LSU rRNA". It matches the Rfam family "Bacterial large subunit ribosomal RNA", at positions 3 to 2025 of the family's 2925-position model. Lineage: Bacteria; Bacillati; Bacillota; Bacilli; Caryophanales; Staphylococcaceae. The record is from RNAcentral.
UUAAGUUAUUAAGGGCGCACGGUGGAUGCCUUGGCACUAGAAGCCGAUGAAGGACGUUACUAACGACGAUAUGCUUUGGGGAGCUGUAAGUAAGCUUUGAUCCAGAGAUUUCCGAAUGGGGAAACCCAGCAUGAGUUAUGUCAUGUUAUCGAUAUGUGAAUACAUAGCAUAUCAGAAGGCACACCCGGAGAACUGAAACAUCUUAGUACCCGGAGGAAGAGAAAGAAAAUUCGAUUCCCUUAGUAGCGGCGAGCGAAACGGGAAGAGCCCAAACCAACAAGCUUGCUUGUUGGGGUUGUAGGACACUCUGUACGGAGUUACAAAGGACGACAUUAGACGAAUCAUCUGGAAAGAUGAAUCAAAGAAGGUAAUAAUCCUGUAGUCGAAAAUGUUGUCUCUCUUGAGUGGAUCCUGAGUACGACGGAGCACGUGAAAUUCCGUCGGAAUCUGGGAGGACCAUCUCCUAAGGCUAAAUACUCUCUAGUGACCGAUAGUGAACCAGUACCGUGAGGGAAAGGUGAAAAGCACCCCGGAAGGAGAGUGAAAUAGAACCUGAAACCGUGUGCUUACAAGUAGUCAGAGCCCGUUAAUGGGUGAUGGCGUGCCUUUUGUAGAAUGAACCGGCGAGUUACGAUUUGAUGCAAGGUUAAGCAGUAAAUGUGGAGCCGUAGCGAAAGCGAGUCUGAAUAGGGCGUUUAGUAUUUGGUCGUAGACCCGAAACCAGGUGAUCUACCCUUGGUCAGGUUGAAGUUCAGGUAACACUGAAUGGAGGACCGAACCGACUUACGUUGAAAAGUGAGCGGAUGAACUGAGGGUAGCGGAGAAAUUCCAAUCGAACCUGGAGAUAGCUGGUUCUCUCCGAAAUAGCUUUAGGGCUAGCCUCAAGUGAUGAUUAUUGGAGGUAGAGCACUGUUUGGACGAGGGGCCCCUCUCGGGUUACCGAAUUCAGACAAACUCCGAAUGCCAAUUAAUUUAACUUGGGAGUCAGAACAUGGGUGAUAAGGUCCGUGUUCGAAAGGGAAACAGCCCAGACCACCAGCUAAGGUCCCAAAAUAUAUGUUAAGUGGAAAAGGAUGUGGCGUUGCCCAGACAACUAGGAUGUUGGCUUAGAAGCAGCCAUCAUUUAAAGAGUGCGUAAUAGCUCACUAGUCGAGUGACACUGCGCCGAAAAUGUACCGGGGCUAAACAUAUUACCGAAGCUGUGGAUUGUCCUUUGGACAAUGGUAGGAGAGCGUUCUAAGGGCGUUGAAGCAUGAUCGUAAGGACAUGUGGAGCGCUUAGAAGUGAGAAUGCCGGUGUGAGUAGCGAAAGACGGGUGAGAAUCCCGUCCACCGAUUGACUAAGGUUUCCAGAGGAAGGCUCGUCCGCUCUGGGUUAGUCGGGUCCUAAGCUGAGGCCGACAGGCGUAGGCGAUGGAUAACAGGUUGAUAUUCCUGUACCACCUAUAAUCGUUUUAAUCGAUGGGGGGACGCAGUAGGAUAGGCGAAGCGUGCGAUUGGAUUGCACGUCUAAGCAGUAAGGCUGAGUAUUAGGCAAAUCCGGUACUCGUUAAGGCUGAGCUGUGAUGGGGAGAAGACAUUGAGUCUUCGAGUCGUUGAUUUCACACUGCCGAGAAAAGCCUCUAGAUAGAAAAUAGGUGCCCGUACCGCAAACCGACACAGGUAGUCAAGAUGAGAAUUCUAAGGUGAGCGAGCGAACUCUCGUUAAGGAACUCGGCAAAAUGACCCCGUAACUUCGGGAGAAGGGGUGCUCUUUAGGGUUAACGCCCAGAAGAGCCGCAGUGAAUAGGCCCAAGCGACUGUUUAUCAAAAACACAGGUCUCUGCUAAACCGUAAGGUGAUGUAUAGGGGCUGACGCCUGCCCGGUGCUGGAAGGUUAAGAGGAGUGGUUAGCUUCUGCGAAGCUACGAAUCGAAGCCCCAGUAAACGGCGGCCGUAACUAUAACGGUCCUAAGGUAGCGAAAUUCCUUGUCGGGUAAGUUCCGACCCGCACGAAAGGCGUAACGAUUUGGGCACUGUCUCAAC